Molecule: ribosomal RNA, 650 nt
Filed under: uncultured bacterium
Lineage: Bacteria
Description: bacterial SSU rRNA
Rfam family: Bacterial small subunit ribosomal RNA
Source: RNAcentral
CGCCGACUCAGCUUGCUGGAGCGGAAGUGGCGAACGGGUGCGUAACGCGUAGGCAACCUGCCCCUUAGUACGGAAUAACUUCGGAAAACCGACGCUAAUACCGUAUGACGUCUCAUGGUCGCAUGACCGAGAGAUGAAAGCCUUCGGGUGCUAAGGGAUGGGCCUGCGUCGGAUUAGGUAGUUGGUGAGGUAACGGCUCACCAAGCCAACGAUCCGUAGCUGGUCUGAGAGGAUGAUCAGCCACACUGGCACUGAGACACGGGCCAGACUCCUACGGGAGGCAGCAGUGAGGAAUAUUGCGCAAUGGGGGAAACCCUGACGCAGCCACGCCGCGUGGAGGAUGACACCGUUAUGCGGCGUAAACUCCUUUUAUAUGAGAAGAAACCCCGGCUCGGUCGGGACUGACGGUAUCAUAUGAAUAAGCACCGGCUAACUCCGUGCCAGCAGCCGCGGUAAUACGGAGGGUGCAAGCGUUGUCCGGAAUCACUGGGUGUAAAGGGUGUGUAGGCGGGAUUGUAAGUCAGAGGUGAAAUCCUACAGCUCAACUGUAGAACUGCCUUUGAUAUUGCAAUUCUUGAGUUUCGGAGAGGUCAUUAGAAUUCGUGGUGUAGCGGUGAAAUGCGUAGAUAUCACGAGGAAUACCAGAGGCG